RNAcentral lists this ribosomal RNA (745 nucleotides) under uncultured bacterium. RNAcentral's name for it is "bacterial SSU rRNA". It matches the Rfam family "Bacterial small subunit ribosomal RNA", at positions 33 to 773 of the family's 1533-position model. The record is from RNAcentral.
ACGCUAGCGGCAGGCCUAAUACAUGCAAGUCGAACGAUAGUUGUCAGCUUGCUGACAACGAAAAGUGGCGCACGGGUGCGUAACGCGUAUGCAACCUACCUUAAUCAGGGGGAUAGCCCGAAGAAAUUCGGAUUAACACCGCAUAAAAACACAGUACAGCAUUGUACAAUGUUCAAAUAUUAAUAGGAUUAAGAUGGGCAUGCGUGACAUUAGUUAGUUGGCGGGGUAACGGCCCACCAAGACCACGAUGUCUAGGGGAUCUGAGAGGAUGACCCCCCACACUGGUACUGAGACACGGACCAGACUCCUACGGGAGGCAGCAGUAAGGAAUAUUGGUCAAUGGGGGCAACCCUGAACCAGCCAUGCCGCGUGCAGGAAGACAGCCCUCUGGGUCGUAAACUGCUUUUAUUCGGGAAUAAACCUUUCUACGUGUAGGAAGCUGAAUGUACCGAAGGAAUAAGGAUCGGCUAACUCCGUGCCAGCAGCCGCGGUAAUACGGGAGGAUCCAAGCGUUAUCCGGAUUUAUUGGGUUUAAAGGGUGCGUAGGCGGCUGUUUAAGUCAGGGGUGAAAGACGUUAGCUCAACUAACGCAGUGCCCUUGAUACUGAAGAGCUUGAAUGGACUAGAGGUAGGCGGAAUGUGACAAGUAGCGGUGAAAUGCAUAGAUAUGUCACAGAACACCGAUUGCGAAGGCAGCUUACUAUGGUUUAAUUGACGCUGAGGCACGAAAGCGUGGGGAUCAAAC